GCCAUGUCCAUGCCCAGGAUCCGAGCCUGAGAAUCCCCGGGCUGCCAAAGCGGAGCAUGCGAACUCAACCUCUUGGACAUGGGGCCGGCCCCUCAAAUGACUAGAGUUGAAAAGUGUGAAUUCUUUAGUGAAAGAACUGAUGGAAGAUCUCCAUUUCUACGUGGGAUCCUGGGUAGUCUGCCAUGAGCAAAGAGACAACAGGUGUAGCAGAAAAAGAGAUUUAAAUCAUUUUGAGGAAUUGACUCUCUCUGAUGUGGAAAUUACUUUUCUCUUUUAAUACAUAAAUUCUGCAGAAAUGGUGAAGAGAUAUGCUUGCCAGAGGCUGGACGAAGAUAAACAUAUUCUCCUAUGUAAGAGGCAGAGUGCAACUACAUAAGCAAACACAAAAUGUUUCUCUCUGCAAGUUUGUUCAGGGCAACCUUUGAUGGACAGAAGGGAGAAUAAAAUUA
Molecule: long non-coding RNA, 449 nt
Filed under: Equus asinus (donkey)
Lineage: Eukaryota; Metazoa; Chordata; Mammalia; Perissodactyla; Equidae
Description: lncRNA (ENSEASG00005034955.1)
Source: RNAcentral